GUCACAGGAUGUCUGACCUUAUUCCUGAAACUUAGCUCUGCAGUUGCUGAAGGUGCUCCAAGAAAUUCAGGUCCAUGAUAAUUAAUUGUCAAAAAUUUAGAGGUGCUACAAUAGAUAGGAUUGUCCAAGGAGGAAAGGAAGUAAAAUACAUCCAAGCCAAGAAUGUUUCAGACCCUGUCACCCGGCUGCUUGAAGAGUUAUAUAACGUAUUUCUUGAAUAACAUGCAGGUCUGCCAUUAAGGCAGAGUGUAAGGGAGAGAGAAACCGUGAUGGAGAGAAAUUCCAGGCAGAUGUGUACACAGCUGUUGUGGAGGGGUGGCGGCCCACAUGCAUAUGGAUGUGAGAUUGGGUGAUGAACAGUCUGAAGGCCUUCAUGGGAUCGGUGUCCCACUGUACCUGGAGGAAAGGCACGACGACACAGCACGCGGAAGUGUGGACCGACAGCCCUUGCUAUGUACCCACAGAUUGUCCCCACUACAUCUCACCCACGUGUGUGCAGUCACACCUCUAUGUGACUUCUAAUCCCAC
RNAcentral lists this long non-coding RNA (528 nucleotides) under Fukomys damarensis (Damara mole-rat). RNAcentral describes it as "lncRNA (ENSFDAG00000031804.1)". Lineage: Eukaryota; Metazoa; Chordata; Mammalia; Rodentia; Bathyergidae. The record is from RNAcentral.